GAGAGUAAAAAAAAUUCUCUCCCUCUCUCUCUCAUCACUCUACGCUCUCUACUGAAUUGGUGUCUGCCGUUCUAUCCCGAAUCGGCCUCGUCGGUCUCGCCAUAAUGGGCCAGAACCUCGCCUUGAACAUCGCCGAGAAAGGCUUCCCAAUCUCUGUCUACAACCGAACCACAUCCAAAGUAGAUGAAACCCUAGAUCGCAUCGCCGUCGAAGGAAACCUCCCAGUAUCCGGCCAAUACUCCCCACACGACUUCGUCCUCUCGCUCCAACGCCCGAGAUCCCUCAUCAUCCUCGUCAAAGCCGGAGCUCACGUUGAUCAGACAAUCGCUGCCUUCUCCGACGCCGUCCUCUCCCAAACCCAUCUUGGAUGCAAUCUCCUUCCUACGAAGAGGCUUGUAACGAGGAAUCUCUCACCGUCCAAGUAUAUACUACAGACCAAUAAACCCUAAUGAUCUAAAUCGUUUAGAGCAUAUACAUCACGAUAUCUUCCCCCAUCAAGUAAUGAGUCUGAGUUUUUUUCAGAGUGUUGCGAAUGGAGUUAUCGUCUCAUGGGCCGCUGUUUAUCGGAACCGGCCUGAUGGUCACUUUGAUGAGCUCAUCGGUUUCAUUACUGCCAAAGAUAGCGAGAUAGAUGAUCUAAUAUGUUACGAUUCCUCACAAGGAGAGGAGACUUUAAGGAGAGGAGACUUUGAUCUACAUCUUAUCACUCGGCAUUGUAGAAACAUACAGAAACCAUGGAAUAGCAAUGUCACUUUGAUGGUGGCUGCAGACUGCAGUAGCAUGUAUCUUUAGCACUUGGGAUAAAAACUGAGGGUAUCAAAUAAGGAUGGUACGAUGGAUGAAGCAUUGCAUUUGCAGUGAUUCUUGUGAUUGUUGUGACAGGUUGAGACGGAGAGAACAGAUCCGGAGGUAAAGAGAAAAUAGACGCCAUCGGAGCUUGUAGGUGGAAUGGUAGAAGAAGCUUGACGACGGAGGAGGCAAGGCGUGGUUGUGCGGAGGAGAUGCAAGCAGCAUGGUCGUGGUGUGGUUCUAUUAGGGGACUUUAACAAAACAAACCCUCAACUAUAGUCUCAUCCAUAUUUAAACCCUCAACUAUGUUUAUAGUUAAAUAAUUCCUCAACUAAAAUCUGUUACUAAAUUUGUCCCUCCAUCGUUGAAAACGUUUGAUCCCUCAAUGGCUUCCGUCAAAAUAUAAGAAAUGAUUAUUUUCUGUGUGACAAAACAACUUUUUUCAAGAUUCUUCGAAAUAAUAACAAGAUUUUUUCAAAAACAGUUUGACGUGCGUGAUUGCUAUCAAGGCUUUUUGAGUGAAUUCAUUUUAAACCCAGAAAAUCUAACUUACAUCCAAGAAAAAUAGAUCGCCAACACGUUACAAUAUUUUUUUAAUAUUUUGUUGUUUUGAUUUCACAAACACCUA
Brassica oleracea var. oleracea is the source of this 1417-nucleotide long non-coding RNA. RefSeq lists it as uncharacterized. The record is from RefSeq and is a predicted model, not a curated record. The transcript is spliced from 6 exons. Lineage: Eukaryota; Viridiplantae; Streptophyta; Magnoliopsida; Brassicales; Brassicaceae.